UCCUCUGUAGUUCAGUCGUGUAGAACGACGGACUGUUAAUCCGUAUGUCACUGGUUCGAGUCCAGUCAGAGGAG
Molecule: transfer RNA, 74 nt
Filed under: Candidatus Sodalis pierantonii str. SOPE
Lineage: Bacteria; Pseudomonadati; Pseudomonadota; Gammaproteobacteria; Enterobacterales; Bruguierivoracaceae
Description: primary endosymbiont of Sitophilus oryzae tRNA
Rfam family: tRNA
About the family: Transfer RNA (tRNA) molecules are approximately 80 nucleotides in length. Their secondary structure includes four short double-helical elements and three loops (D, anti-codon, and T loops).
Source: Rfam by way of RNAcentral